CAUUCCCUGGGUGGUUCGUGAUGGAUCGACGCACGGUAGAACCAACAUUUCUCCCCCGGGAGUCCUACAUUCGCGAAGCCCGUGCCUGCCCCGCAUCGACGGGGACGCUGAAGGCUCCUCGUGCGGACACCCACCUGACGCGUUUCAGGUUCUAGACGCAGCGUCCACACGGCCACCCGGGGGAUGU
This 187-nucleotide non-coding RNA is filed under the name Holophagales bacterium. Its description in RNAcentral is "6S RNA". It matches the Rfam family "6S / SsrS RNA". From Rfam's summary of the family: E. coli 6S RNA was the first non coding RNA to be sequenced, but its function was unknown until recently. It consists of 184 nucleotides that fold into an extended hairpin structure with a large single-stranded internal bulge. Lineage: Bacteria; Pseudomonadati; Acidobacteriota; Holophagae; Holophagales. The record is from RNAcentral.